UCUCCGUUGGUGAGCCAGCGGAGGGAUCAUUACAGAGUAGCAAAACUCCCAAACCAAAUACAACGUUACCUAUCCCGUUACAACGGCGGGCUGCUCGGUCCCCGCGCCCGGCACCCAAAGGCACCCCGUGGACGCCCGUCUUAUGUUAACUAAACCCUUGAAUUGCAUUUCCUCUCUGAGUCUUCUGUACUAAAAAAAAAAAAACUUUCAACAACGGAUCUCUUGGUUCUGGCAUCGAUGAAGAACGCAACAGAACGGAAAAGCACACGUCUGAACUCC
RNAcentral lists this unclassified non-coding RNA (279 nucleotides) under plant metagenome. RNAcentral's name for it is "partial contains small subunit ribosomal RNA, internal transcribed spacer 1, and 5.8S ribosomal RNA". The record is from RNAcentral.